UGGUAUUCUUUCUCUGCUCAGAGAGGAAGAAUAGAUCACUUAAUGCUCUGAAGUUUACACCCAUGCUUUCCUCUGUUAGCUCUUUUGGCCCAGUCUGGAGAGAGAAAAAAAUUGAUUGGGGGUCUGUUAAUCAAAAUUGGAUCCAGUUUGGCCAUAAGCAAAUAUGCAGACAUUGUAACCAUCAAGGACAGACCGAAUGAGGGGCCGAGUGUCUGAGAAUACUUCCUCUGCAAAGAAGCCAACAAACUUGAGUGAGAACAUUUGCAGAGAAACCCAGAAUACCCUUGAUAAAAGUGUGUGCACCAACUAACCUUGGGUUGCUGAAGGACCAAAUACUUUGUUGAAUGUAAAUGACUUCCUGGCCUCCUUUCCAUAUUUAGAUAAGGUAUUCACUGUAAUAUUUCCAUCCUCUAGGCGGUCCACAGUGCUUAGACGAUUUGCUUGCCCAGGUAAAAAUGGUCUCACGCGACAAUAUACUCUAAUGUUUCCUACUCAAACACACAAGGAACCAUUAGACUGUAGAUAGAAAGUCAGCGCAUGAGACGUCCGGUACUUUUACUUCAAGUUGACAAUGAAACCUGGGGAACAAUACCUUUCAAGUCUUGCACCUGAUUAUACAACCUUCGAUUUUCCUCAAGAACCUUUUGGUAUCUAGAAGCAGCUUGAGCUAGACUAUGUAGGUAUUUACCUAUUCAUGAGAUUAUCAGCAAGAAAGAUCAGAAAAUUUGGUAAAAGCGCUGGAAACAAGUGUGAACUCAGUUAGUUUACCAAGAUUGGCAAGCUCCUCCAUAUGCUUCAUUUGUAAAGACUGCAUUCCUUCUUUCGUUGUACAUACAGUUAGCUUCAGCUCCUGCAAAUAGCAAUAGAGUACCAUAAAGUAACCUCUUGUAGGCAUUUGAAAAUUUUCUUAAUUAGAUGAUUGCACUGAAGAUACCUGAA
This is a long non-coding RNA of Eucalyptus grandis, 939 nucleotides long. RefSeq lists it as uncharacterized. The record is from RefSeq and is a predicted model, not a curated record. Lineage: Eukaryota; Viridiplantae; Streptophyta; Magnoliopsida; Myrtales; Myrtaceae. The transcript is spliced from 2 exons.